GGUUUAUCCCGGAGGGCUUGUAGCUCAGUUGGUUAGAGCGCGCGCUUGAUAAGCGUGAGGUCGGAGGUUCAAGUCCUCCCAGGCCCACCAGUUUAUCCAUUACUUUCAUAAGUGCUUUUAAAAAAUAAGUACUUCUAAAAAGAUUGCUUCUAAAAAGAUUGCUUCUAAAAAGAUUGCUUCUAAAAAGAUUGCUUCUAAAAAGAUUGCUUCUAAAAAGAUUGCUUCUAAAAAGCUUAUCAAAAUUGGCAGGCUUAUUGCUUUUGUGUGAGUAAUCCAAAGUUAAAGCAAAUUAAUGGCAAAAAAACAGUUCAAAUGCUAAAUACUAAGGAGUCAAAAUUCCUUGCAAAGUGAUUUUUACAGCGUCCAUUUGGUUGAUAUAAAUUCCAAAUGCUCAUAGACGUCAAUGCCUAUAUGAAACUAUCGGUUCAAUCAUAUCGCUUUGAGUUAUAUAGAUUUUGUAAUCCCUCUUUUGAUCGUUUUAAACGCUUUAUCCUGAUUUAGGGGCCGUAGCUCAGCUGGGAGAGCACCUGCUUUGCAAGCAGGGGGUCGUCGGUUCGAUCCCGUCCGGCUCCACCAUAAGGUCAUCAUCAUUG
RNAcentral lists this transfer RNA (593 nucleotides) under Bartonella henselae. RNAcentral's name for it is "partial 16S-23S ribosomal RNA intergenic spacer". The stretch from base 14 to 87 matches the Rfam family "tRNA". The record is from RNAcentral. Lineage: Bacteria; Pseudomonadati; Pseudomonadota; Alphaproteobacteria; Hyphomicrobiales; Bartonellaceae.